UUCAAUGAUUUCAUAUUGUGCCGGCGG
This 27-nucleotide small RNA is filed under the name Bombyx mori (domestic silkworm). RNAcentral describes it as "ovarian small RNA-9504". The record is from RNAcentral. Lineage: Eukaryota; Metazoa; Arthropoda; Insecta; Lepidoptera; Bombycidae.